RNAcentral lists this transfer RNA (68 nucleotides) under Ismarus sp. ZJUH_2016020. RNAcentral describes it as "tRNA-His". Lineage: Eukaryota; Metazoa; Arthropoda; Insecta; Hymenoptera; Diapriidae. The record is from RNAcentral.
AAUUUAUUAGUUUAAAAAAAAAAUUUUGGUUUGUGGAAUCAAAGAUAAUAUUAUUAAUUUAUAAAUUU